Lemur catta (Ring-tailed lemur) is the source of this 711-nucleotide long non-coding RNA. RefSeq lists it as uncharacterized. Lineage: Eukaryota; Metazoa; Chordata; Mammalia; Primates; Lemuridae. The transcript is spliced from 2 exons. The record is from RefSeq and is a predicted model, not a curated record.
GGAAACUUGCUGAACGCACCACGGGAUUUAAAGCGGUGGAUGCCGGUGCCAAUUAGGAUGAGCCAAGUGCCUGCAGCUGGAGUCCCAAAGCCCAGCUCUGCCUCCAGGCCUGUCCCUCUCGCUGGUUCAGCUCUGAACCGACGUCUGAGAAGGAUGAACGUCUGCCCAGGGAUGAGGGGUUAAAGACUGUCGACGUGUUAGGUUGGCGCAGGCUCUGAGCAACCACCGGGAUCCGUUGCCCCUUAGUGUGUGACAUGUAGACAGUCGCUGGCCGGGAAGAGGAGUGUUGCUUACCCUGUCUGCCUGCCCUCUGUCACCUCCAAGUGUAUACACACACAGAGACCUGAAACUACGAAUCAGCAACCCAGAUGGUGGCUUUUAACAUUUAGGAAGCGAAUCGAAGCUUCAUUAAAGCAGUAUCUUUGCACUGUGCCAGGCCCAAUGCCCCCUCAUCGGGAAUAAAUCAUCAGCAUUGCUGCCCGGGAAGUCCAACGAAGGACCAGGAGUUCCCUGGCUUUGCUUUCUUCUCAGAAAAAAUGCUCUCCUUGCUUUACCCCACUUUCUCCCCACUCUCUCCCAACUCUCCUGGAAUAAUUGGCCUUAAUUAGCAGCAUUUCCCCACCCCUGAGCCCAUCAGGAUGACAAGAAAUGUCCAGCUGGCUGAAUCUCGCCCCCGCCUGACCAUUAAAUUGGAAAACAGUUGUAUUUUUA